UCUCCAACACCCAGCUGUCCGGAGCUCCUGAUGCCCCCGGAGAUGCUCCUGGUGAUGAUAUCCACGGCACAGAGGACUCAGACUUGGUGCCGUCUGUCACCCUGGCUGCAACCCUCAUCCUAGUCUUCCUUCUAAUGUCAUUCUGGCUGGCUUGGUCACCCUGCCAAGUCUCCUGCUAAGCGGGCUCCUGAGCGGAGGGCAGCAGGACAGUUGGGUUUCUAGCCCCACUCUGGGUCAAUGACACUCAGUGCUGUGGGAAAUCGUUGCAGGACGCGCCUCUGGGACACUACAGCUUGGACUCCUUCCUAUGUUUGGGCAGCUCAUGCUCACCUGGUCCACUUCUCUUGAUGACUGUCUUUAACCAUGUCUCCCAUCGUUGUGAAGCCAUGCCGGGGACUGCAGAUAAAACUGAAUGACUUCAGUUGCUUGUGUCAGUGAGUGGGGAUAAUUGUGUGGUCAACUCGUCCACUCUGGGGCCUCAGUUUCCCUUGUCUUCAAGGUAGGAUGGCAGUGCCUGCUUCUGGGUACUUUGAGGAAGAUGCCUCGUGGAAAGGCCUUCUGUAGUCCUCUCUGAUAUAUACCUGAUAUAUACUCCCCCCAGUAGGCCAGCCUCUGAUUCUACAGCACUCACCCAGAAGAUAGACAUAGGAGCGGCCUCCAAAAGAUGUACUGGUCUCCGCUGCCAUCUGGUGGUAGAAGGUACAAUUGCACCCACAUAGAGGUUCCCUUUGGGGGUGCUCCAGGGACGAGUAAACAAUUGUUUGUUUUUUGAGAUGUGAAAUUUUGAGAUUUUGUGUGAGCACAGAUCCCAUUAGACAGUGGGAACCGCUUUGACAUUAGCUAUUGGUGUCCGUUCCCUGUCUCUCUGUUUCUGUGAUGGUUCUAAAAGCCACUGGAGAAGAGGCAAUUCUCCCGGCAUAAGGUCUGUAUGGAUGGAAUGACUGGUGGCUUUUUUCUCGGAACACUGUGCUCCUGACUUACGCAGCCUGAGUUCCAGGGGGCCUUCCUCUCGGGCCUCACCAACAGGCAGGGUUCUGUCGGUUGGGUCUGCGAGGUCAAGAUCAUGGAACAAACCGACAAGAGCCCUGCAGGCAUCCACAGCCCCCCCGGGAUCUCAGCUUUGCCAAGCCUGGAGGAAGGGUUUACCGAAGCUUGCAGAGAAUACACGUUCUGCCGGUUGGGUCUGUGAGGGCAAGACUGUGGGACAAACCUGCAAGUACCCCCAGGCAUCCACAGGCCACAGGAUCUCAGCUUUGCCAAGCCUGGAGGAAAGGGUUUACCAAAGCUUGCCUAGAAUACACUGGGUAAUCCCGGGCUACUACAGCUUGGCUGGUGGCCAGAGGUUGGUAGGAAGCUCUGCAGUGUGAAGGCUUGUCUCUAGGAAGGGGAAGUCAGAGACUUAUUCUUGUUCUCCAAAUGCUGGCGUUCCUUCCAGGAACUCAGGGUCCAUCAUUGGGGAUUCAAAGAAACAGGAGGGGAGGGGGACUGGUGGCAGGGAGGCCUUGAGCUGUGGUUUCUGAACUAUUCUUUGCCCCUGUCAGGGUCCCAGUAUAGGGCGAUGCUCCUUCCUGGGAACACAAAGCACAUGACUGUGAGCCCCACUGGGGACAAACUCCUCUGAUACGGCACGACAACAGUCUUGGGCCAACACUUGGGUCCUGCCUGCCUGGGCAAGGUGCGAUUCCAAUUCCCUCAUCUCUCUUGAUACCGCCCACCAGAUGCAGAACCAGAACACAAGCACGCCUUUUCUCUUGAUGGCUGAGAUCACUGUUGCAAACGUCAGUCAGGUGUGCCAGCGUCCUCCUGGAAGUCAUGAAGACUGCUGGCUCAGAAGAGCUGAGCAAUGGACAAAAGCUCCCCCAGGCCUGUUUGCAUGAAGUCCAGGCUCUGCCCAAGGUCCCAGUGCCAACGAGCUACCCAGGCAGGCCUGGGCAUGUGCAUGCAUCGUUGAAUGGGAGUCAUGAAAAUGUCCUGUGGUUUCCAUGUUUCCUGUGGCCAGCUAGCUCCAUCUGGCCCCAUUCCUGAAUUCUCACAUGUCCAGGCCAUCACCACAGGUACCUGGGGAGAGUGCAGGCCAGGAAGCAAUUGCAUCUGCAAGGAAAAUAUUGUUUUGUGUAAUUCAGUGGCCCCUUCUAUAAACAUUGUGGUUCUGCCUCGGGA
Molecule: long non-coding RNA, 2160 nt
Organism: Mesocricetus auratus (golden hamster)
Lineage: Eukaryota; Metazoa; Chordata; Mammalia; Rodentia; Cricetidae
Exons: 2
Source: RefSeq, a predicted model, not a curated record